Small nucleolar RNA from Aotus nancymaae (Ma's night monkey), 133 nucleotides. Ensembl annotates it as small nucleolar RNA, H/ACA box 84. Its record names the gene SNORA84. NCBI's taxonomy places the organism in Eukaryota, Metazoa, Chordata, Mammalia, Primates, Aotidae. The record is from Ensembl.
GCCCUGUGGUUGCUGGAUGCUGUUGUGUAUGUGCAGCUCUCCAGUGGAUACGAUGGGCCAUAGCAAUCCUGUGAUUUAUGCAUGGAGGCCGCUUCUCCUCAGCAGCCGCCAUAGCCCGGUCACUGGAACAUGG